Molecule: ribosomal RNA, 577 nt
Filed under: Nostoc commune SykoA C-016-12
Lineage: Bacteria; Bacillati; Cyanobacteriota; Cyanophyceae; Nostocales; Nostocaceae
Description: bacterial SSU rRNA
Rfam family: Bacterial small subunit ribosomal RNA
Source: RNAcentral
GGUGGCUAAUCCCGGAUGUGUCAAGAGGGUGAAAGAUUAAUUGCCUGAAGAUGAGCUCGCGUCUGAUUAGCUAGUUGGUAGAGUAAUAGCCUACCUAGGCGACGAUCAGUAGCUGGUCUGAGAGGACGAUCAGCCACACUGGGACUGAGACACGGCCCAGACUCCUACGGGAGGCAGCAGUGGGGAAUUUUCCGCAAUGGGCGAAAGCCUGACGGAGCAAUACCGCGUGAGGGAGGAAGGCUCCUGGGUCGUAAACCUCUUUUCUUAGGGAAGAACACAAUGACGGUACCUAAGGAAUAAGCAUCGGCUAACUCCGUGCCAGCAGCCGCGGUAAUACGGAGGAUGCAAGCGUUAUCCGGAAUGAUUGGGCGUAAAGCGUCCGCAGGUGGCGAUGWAAGUCUGCUGUUAAAGAGUCUAGCUCAACYMGAUAMRRGCAGUGGAAACUACMUAGCUAGAGUACGKUCGGGGCAGAGGGAAUUCCUGGUGUAGCGGUGAAAUGCGUAGAGAUCAGGAAGAACACCGGUGGCGAAGGCGCUCUGCUAGGCCGUAACUGACACUGAGGGACGAAAGCUAGGGG